GUGGGGAAUUUUGGACAAUGGGGGCAACCCUGAUCCAGCCAUGCCGCGUGCGGGAAGAAGGCCUUCGGGUUGUAAACCGCUUUUGUCAGGGAAGAAAUCCUUUGGGUUAAUACCUCGGAGGGAUGACGGUACCUGAAGAAUAAGCACCGGCUAACUACGUGCCAGCAGCCGCGGUAAUACGUAGGGUGCGAGCGUUAAUCGGAAUUACUGGGCGUAAAGCGUGCGCAGGCGGUUUUGUAAGAUCGAUGUGAAAUCCCCGGGCUCAACCUGGGAACUGCAGUGGUGACUGCAAGGCUGGAGUGCGGCAGAGGGGGAUGGAAUUCCGCGUGUAGCAGUGAAAUGCGUAGAUAUGCGGAGGAACACCGAUGGCGAAGGCAAUCCCCUGGGCCUGCACUGACGCUCAUGCACGAAAGCGUGGGGAGCAAACAGGAUUAGAUACCCCAGUAGUCC
This 450-nucleotide ribosomal RNA is filed under the name uncultured bacterium. RNAcentral describes it as "bacterial SSU rRNA". It matches the Rfam family "Bacterial small subunit ribosomal RNA", at positions 354 to 796 of the family's 1533-position model. The record is from RNAcentral.